RNAcentral lists this small RNA (53 nucleotides) under Allobosea spartocytisi. RNAcentral describes it as "Bosea spartocytisi ffh sRNA". It matches the Rfam family "ffh sRNA". The record is from Rfam by way of RNAcentral. Lineage: Bacteria; Pseudomonadati; Pseudomonadota; Alphaproteobacteria; Hyphomicrobiales; Alloboseaceae.
GAGCCCGGAGGUCAACGUCCGACAGCGCAGUUGCGCCCUCGGGCGCGAAACCG